Molecule: ribosomal RNA, 253 nt
Filed under: uncultured bacterium
Lineage: Bacteria
Description: partial 16S ribosomal RNA
Rfam family: Bacterial small subunit ribosomal RNA
Source: RNAcentral
UACAGAGGUCUCAAGCGUUGUUCGGAUUCAUUGGGCGUAAAGGGUGCGUAGGCGGCGCGGUAAGUCGGGUGUGAAAUCUCGGAGCUUAACUCCGAAACUGCAUUCGAUACUGCCGUGCUUGAGGACUGGAGAGGAGACUGGAAUUUACGGUGUAGCGGUGAAAUGCGUAGAUAUCGUAAGGAAGACCAGUGGCGAAGGCGGUUCUCUGGGCCUGUACUGACGCUGAGGAACGAAAGCGUGGGGAGCGAACAGG